GAUAUGCUCUUCAACUUCCUCUUUUCAUUAAAAGCGGCGGAGAUAAGAAAUUCCAAAUACUUUAUGAGAUAUCGAAUUUUUUAAUUUUGCAAUACAAGACCUGUGGAACCAUUCGAGCGGCGCCAUUUUUGUUAUUUUGCCGUGUGUUCGUGAGACGUGAAUACGUGAAUCGUGAAUGCGUAAUUAAUAAAAUGGUUGAUUAGGUCAGGUCAGUUACAUUAUUAAUACUUUCAAACUAAGCCGACAUUAAAAAUUAUUUUGUGAAUUAAUUUUAAUGGCUGUUUAGUUUUAAAAUAUUUAUAAUGUAACUGACCUGACCAAACAAACCCGGACAAAGGGUGAACAGUAAACUAAAAUGGUCGAUUAGGUCAGGUCAGUUACAUUAUAAAUACUUUCAAACUAAGGUGAUAUUAAAAAUAAUGUGAAUUAAUUUUAAUUAUUCCUUAGUUUUAAAUUAUUUAUAAUGUAACUGACCUUACCUAACAAACCCGUAACAAAGGAUGUACAGUAACAACUGACGUAAUUUUUUUUGUUACUUAUUACUUGCGCAACAAUAUCAAAAUAACAAAUAAGACUUUAAAAUUAGAAACGUUAAAAACUCACCUAAGUUGGAGGCGGUAAUUAAACACUGUUUUAAACAAUAAUUGAACUAAAUAAUCACGUAUUAGUUCAUUUGAAUUCUGGCCUAUCACGAACAAUCACGUGACGACAUUAUCCAAUAAAAAAAAAAUACUCGUACGUAAACAAGAAACAAUGGUGCAGUCACACACGCCACAGGAAUGCGCUGGUUUUGUGCUGAAAUUUAAAAAUUCGAUAUCUCCUAAAGUAUUUGGAAUUUCUAAUCUCCGCCGCUUUUAAUGAAAAGAGGAAGUUGAAGAGCAUAUAAUAAAGGUAUUUUCGGAUUGUUAACAUUUUUUUUCGCAAAUACCGCUCAACUACAUAUGAAGAAAUUUAAAAAUUCGAUAUCUCCUGAAGUAUUUGGAAUUUCUAAUCUCCGCCGCUUUUAAUGAAAAGAGGAAGUUGAAGAGCAUUAUAUAAAGGUAUUUUCGGAUUUUUAACAUUUUUUUUCGGAAAUACCGCCCAAGUAAAUAUUUACCGACCCAGCACAGAUACCAACACUGGAACAAUUUAUCAUCUUUUUGGAAGGUCGACAACGAUUGUUGGAGUCUUUAGGAAGUGGACAAAAACUGAAGGCUGUUUACAAACCAAGCCACCAACAACCCAACUGGAGAUCUUCGGGGCCUCACUCCACACAUUCAUUUCUAGGUCAUUCAGGGGAGAAAAGGUCUCAGCAAUGUAUGCUGUGUGGAGACCAUCACUCAUUGUCUCAGUGUUCCAAAUUUGUGGAAGCCUCCCCUAAGCAGCGAUUUGAAUUUGCAAAACAGCUGAAGGUGUGUAUAAACUGCCUGCGGCAGUUUCAUAAGGCCAAGGAUUGCUAUUCAAAGACCAACUGCAGAACUUGUGGAUCACGUCAUAAUACCUUGUUACAUUUUGAAGACUCAGCAUUAUCCAGCCAAAACUUGGAGAAAAACAAUGAGCUAAGUACAGAGGUGCAGUUGACUGAUGAUAUCCCUGAACAACCUCCCACGUCAGCUUUGACCAGUACUGGUCCAUCAUGUGUUUUAUUGGCAACAGCCACUGUUGGUGUUAGAGAUGCUAGUGGCAACAAUCAGAAGUGUAGAGUGCUGCUGGAUUCGGGAAGUCAAGCUAAUUUCAUUACAAGCCAGUGCCUUCAGAAGUUAGGCUUGCCUCGACACAAGUGUUCACGAUUGAUUCAGGGUCUUUCCGGUGUGUCUGUCACAUCUGUGAGAGGAACUGCCUCUUGCCAGAUACAUCCCAUCGAUGAUGAUGCUAGAGUAUUCACCCUUGACACUUUGGUUCUAAACAAAAUAAGUGAGAAGUUGCCUAAUACACAUAUUUUUUCUGGGCAGUGGAAACAUCUCUCGAAUCUGAAGAUGGCAGAUCCCCACUUUGGAACACCUGGUCCAAUCGAAAUGUUGCUUGGAGCCUAAAUUUUCCCUCUUUUGUUAACUGGUGGUCGUGUCGAAGGCAUUCCUGGCUCUCCAACAGCAUUGGAUUCCAUUUUUGGGUGGUUGGUCAUGGGAAAAAUCGAAUCGACGUCUGGGUCUCCAGUGUCUGGAUUAUCAACAUGUUUUCAUGCUUCACUUGUGCCACUGGAAGAUACCAUGAAGAAGUUUUGGGAACUCGAAGAAAUUCCAGAUGUGAUCCCUGAAACACCGGAAGAAGUUAAGUGUGAAGAGAUCUUCAGAACUACUCACAAGAGAGGAACUGAUGGCCGCUAUACAGUCAAGUUGCCAUUCAAAACUGUGGCCCCAGAAUUGGGAGAGUCAAAAUCUCGAGCACUAAGGCGCUGGGGAAGUUUAGAACAGAGAUUAUGUCGCCAACCAGAGCUCAAGUCUCAGUACGAAAACUUCAUGAAGGAUUACAUUACAGAGGGUCACAUGGAAAUAGUGGCUGAAGCAGAACAUAACGUUAGACUGGGUUACUACAUCCCUCACCACUGUGUCUUAAAACCUGACAGCACCACCACAAAACUUCGUGUUGUUUUUGAUGCAUCGGCAAAGACGUCAUCUGGACUGUCCUUAAAUGACACCUUGCUACCAGGAAAUAAGUUACAGGGCGACAUAAGUAACCUUAUUCUUCGCUUGCGAUGCCAUAAGAUUGCUUUCACCGCUGAUGUCCAGCAAAUGUACAGACAAAUUCUACUGGAUCCACAGCAACAGGACUAUCACAGAAUCCUUUGGCGCUCCAACUUAAGGGACCCAAUCCAGGAAUAUCGGCUGAAAACCGUAACAUAUGGUGUCUCUGCAGCACCGUUUCUUGCCAUUCGAACACUUCACCAACUUGCGGAAGAUGAGAAACCAAGGUACCCUCGUGCAGCAAGUGUCCUUGUGGCUGACACUUAUGUGGAUGACGUAGUGACUGGUGCAGAUACACUGCAGGCAGCCGUACAAUUGCAACAGGAACUAGUUGGUCUUCUCAAGUCUGGUGGCUUCAAUCUCCGCAAGUUUGCCAGCAACAGUCCAGAGUUUCUUGCCCAACUGCCACCAUCUCAACUACAACAACCUAUUGCUCAUUUGUUUGACACUGAAGGGCAUUCAAGUCUGAAGGUACUUGGUCUUCAUUGGAAUGCUAGGUUAGAUACUUUUUCGUACCAUGUACACUCCAUGAGCAGCAGCUGCACUAAGAGGGGCAUUCUAUCUGAUGUGGCAAGAAUAUUUGAUCCACUAGGUUGGCUAUCACCUCUGUUGUUACUGGCAAAAUCAAUGAUACAAGAGUUAUGGUUAGAAGGUGUUGACUGGGAUGACAACCUGCCUACCAGAUUAGAGGUGAAGUGGACUCGUUUCAAGGAGGAGCUGUCUUUAGUGGAGGAAGUUACUAUACCCAGGGGACCUCUUGUAGGUGCGCGAGACUCAUUGCUCGAACUUCAUGGUUUCUCUGACAGUUCAGAGUUAGGAUAUGCCGCUGUAGUAUAUCUUCGUGAGGUACCUCAUGAUGGUCCACCCCAAGUACAUCUGCUGAUGGGUCGGUCCAAGGUAGCACCAACCAAAAGGGUUACCUUACCUCGUCUCGAACUUUGUGGAGCUGUUUUACUCUCAAAACUUCUGAUUUAUAUUGUGGGUGUUCUUUCAUCUCUAAAUUUUAAGAGCAUUUACGCCUGGACAGAUUCCACUGUCACCCUAGCUUGGAUACGGUCAUCAUCUCAUAGAUGGAAAUCAUUUGUGGCAAAUCGUGUGGGAGAAAUUCAAACAAACACUUCACCUGAGUGGUGGCAUCAUGUUCCUUCGGCUGAUAAUCCGGCAGACUGCGCCUCCAGAGGUCUUCUGCCCUCACAGCUGGUCAACCAUACGUUGUGGUGGACAGGCCCAUCAUGGUUGCGUGAGGGACAAGCCACAUGGCCACAUUUCAGUUGGACGUCAUCUCUCGAUAAUGCAGAGUUGAUAACUGAACAGCGUAAUCAGCCUGCUGAACCCUUUGUCGGCGCUCUCACAGUUGGAGACCUAUCGCUGCUUCAUCAGUUUUCAUCCCUCACGAAAAUCAAACGGAUAACAGCCUACUGUUUGCGCUUUAUAAACAUGAGAAGUUCUCACAAGGAGAAAAGAAGUGGUGCUCUUCAGGUGAGCGAGCUUCAAGCAGCACUCUUGGUGUGGGUCAGAAGGACCCAGGCUGUUGAGUUCGCUACUGAACUCUUGGCUGUGAAAAAGGGUCAGUGCUCAAUCUCCUUGAAGAAAUUGAACCCUUUCGUAGAUUCAAAUGGCAUUCUCAGAGUUGGUGGUAGGCUCCAGGCAUCGGACUUGCCGUAUAGCCAAAAACAUCCUAUCUUGCUUCCAAAACGGUGUCGCUUGACGAAACUGAUCAUCGAUCAGCUACACAAGGACUUGCUGCACCCAGGCCCUCAACAUUUGCUUUCUGUCCUGCAGCAAGACUUCUGGGUUGUGAAUGGCAAGGACGUUAUCAGGCAGCAACUGCAUAGGUGUGUAAUCUGUUUCCGUGUCAGGCCAAGCCCAGUAAUUCCUAAGAUGGGUAACCUGCCAGCUGAAAGAAUCACACAGGCCAAACCAUUCUUAAAAACUGGAGUUGACUAUGCUGGACCAUUUACCAUAACAAUGGCUCGGACCCGUAAACCACGGACAUUUCGUGCGUAUAUUUGUUUGUUUGUGUGUUUUACCACCAAGACUCUACAUCUUGAAUUGGUGUCUGAUUUAUCUACUGAAGCGUUUCUAGCUGCAUUUCGUAGAUUUGUGGCCCUACGUGGUUCUUGCACAGACAUUUUCAGUGACUGUGGAACAAAUUUUGUUGGUGCUAAUCAUCAGCUGAAGGCUUUGCUGUCCUUCCUUGGAGAUAAAACCAACAACAAUAUUAUCACUCAUGCCUUGGGCAGCCAUGGAAUUCAAUGGCACUUCAAUCCACCAGGUGCACCUCAUUUUGGAGGACUGUGGGAGGCAGGGGUGAAGUCUGUCAAGGCUCAUUUGAGUAAGGUGAUUGGCAGUCAGCUGUUGACGUAUGAGGAGUUUAAUACAGUCCUCACCCAAGUUGAGGCCAUGUUGAAUUCACGGCCGCUGACCCCAUUGUCGACAGACCCGAGUGACCUGACAGCGCUGACACCUAGUCAUUUCCUCACUCUGGGCCCUCCUCAAAUCUUACCUGAAGAGGAUGUGACUUCGGUGCCUAUGAAUCGGCUUUCAAGAUGGCAUCUUUUGCAACAAGCUCACCAAUGCUUCUGGCAGCGAUGGCAUAAAGAUUAUUUGCAUCAGCUGCAGGUGCGGGGGAAGUGGAAUCAAGCUGGCGUGAAUGUGCAACCCAACACACUAGUGUUGAUUCAAGACCCUAACUUGCCUCCACUUCGUUGGAGACUUGGACGAGUGAUAAAAACUUUUCCAGGUCCUGAUGGAGUGGUACGUGUGGCACAACUCCGUACACUCCAGGGACUUGUUACUCGACCGAUAGUGAAGCUGUGCCCCUUACCCCAAGACUAAGUUGAAAUAUUUAUUUCAAGGUGGGCGGGAUGUUCAGUGACUUUAAAAAAGGACCCUUUGUAUAUAUUUCUCAUUUGUUUGUGCUCGGAGCAUGGACAUGUAACAGUGUUUUUCUUUUUGUUGUUGGUUGUGUGCGGACAAAACUUUCUCCUUGCUUGUGUAUCCAACAAAGGACAGUAAAAAUUAAGAUGGCCGCCUAGACACAAGUUGGUGCUGGGCGCUGCUAGAAUUCAUCAAUUUUCGGAUGAAUUCUUUAACUUCCGUAGUCACGGAACAAAUGACGUGAAAAAAUAGAUUUUGUCUAUUUUCUAAAUAACAAGAAUGCAUACAAUUAUAUGUAUAUUCAAAGGCUUGGUUUAUUCGACUCGAGCAUACCUUGGCCUAGAAGCCAGCCAGUGAUGCUGUGACUGUGAAGUUGCCGGCACAGAUAACUAACGGAAGUUUGAUAAAAGAAAGAAAGGAUGUGAUUCUAUUUUUAAAGCCACGCACUUAGGUGGCGACUGCAAGGCUGAAGAAUGUGACAGGCGUCAACGGCAAGAUGUCUAAUGGCGAGCGAGAGGGGUGGAGAUAAAGCAGACAAAUAACAAAAGCUCGCUUCAAGCGAUCACGCCGUAAAUUCCUCAAAAAUACCUCGUUAUAGCCGUGUUCUCGCUAUUACCGUGCUCGCUAUAACGAGAUUCUACUGUAUUGUAACAUUUAUUUGUUCCGAAAAGGUGAUCGAGUGCAAAGGGCCGACGAAC
Bacillus rossius redtenbacheri is the source of this 6238-nucleotide RNA transcript. It is a transcript of the gene named ribonuclease 3-like, with no coding region annotated. NCBI's taxonomy places the organism in Eukaryota, Metazoa, Arthropoda, Insecta, Phasmatodea, Bacillidae. The record is from RefSeq and is a predicted model, not a curated record. The transcript is spliced from 2 exons.